This 122-nucleotide small RNA is filed under the name Arabidopsis thaliana (thale cress). RNAcentral describes it as "ATSL175140". The record is from RNAcentral. Lineage: Eukaryota; Viridiplantae; Streptophyta; Magnoliopsida; Brassicales; Brassicaceae.
UCAAAACAAUAGAUGAACCUUCUUCACAUUUACAAAUUUAAAGCCUAUGAUUUAAGAUAACUUUCAAUGAAAAACCCUCCAACUUGACUAAAGAUCUCAGAUGUCGGUUAAAAAAAUAAUAA